This 497-nucleotide ribosomal RNA is filed under the name uncultured bacterium. RNAcentral describes it as "partial 16S ribosomal RNA". It matches the Rfam family "Bacterial small subunit ribosomal RNA", at positions 28 to 507 of the family's 1533-position model. The record is from RNAcentral.
GAUGAACGCUGGCGGCGUGCCUAAUACAUGCAAGUCGAGCGAACGGACGAGAAGCUUGCUUUUCUGAUGUUAGCGGCGGACGGGUGAGUAACACGUGGAUAACCUACCUAUAAGACUGGGAUAACUUCGGGAAACCGGAUCUAAUACCGGAUAAUAUUUUGAACCGCAUGGUUCAAAAGUGAAAGACGGUCUUGCUGUCACUUUUAGAUGGAUCCGCGCUGCAUUAGCUAGUUGGUAAGGUAACGGCUUACCAAGGCAACGAUGCAUAGCCGACCUGAGAGGGUGAUCGGCCACACUGGAACUGAGACACGGUCCAGACUCCUACGGGAGGCAGCAGUAGGGAAUCUUCCGCAAUGGGCGAAAGCCUGACGGAGCAACGCCGCGUGAGUGAUGAAGGUCUUCGGAUCGUAAAACUCUGUUAUUAGGGAAGAACAUAUGUGUAAGUAACUGUGCACAUCUUGACGGUACCUAAUCAGAAAGCCACGGCUAACUACGUG